UACGGAAGGCAGCAGUGGGGAAUAUUGCACAAUGGGCGCAAGCCUGAUGCAGCCAUGCCGCGUGUAUGAAGAAGGCCUUCGGGUUGUAAAGUACUUUCAGUCGUGAGGAAGGUGUUAAGGUUAAUAACCUUAGCAAUUGACGUUAGCGACAGAAGAAGCACCGGCUAACUCCGUGCCAGCAGCCGCGGUAAUACGGAGGGUGCGAGCGUUAAUCGGAAUUACUGGGCGUAAAGGGCACGCAGGCGGUUAAUUAAGUUGGAUGUGAAAUCCCCGGGCUUAACCUGGGAAUGGCAUUCAAGACUGGUUAGCUAGAGUCUUGGUAGAGGGGGUAGAAUUCCAUGUGUAGCGGUGAAAUGCGUAGAGAUGUGGAGGAAUACCGGUGGCGAAGGCGGCCCCUGGACAAAGACUGACGCUCAUGUGCGAAAGCGUGGGGAGCGAAAC
RNAcentral lists this ribosomal RNA (441 nucleotides) under uncultured bacterium. RNAcentral's name for it is "bacterial SSU rRNA". It matches the Rfam family "Bacterial small subunit ribosomal RNA", at positions 340 to 774 of the family's 1533-position model. The record is from RNAcentral.